ACUUAAGUAGCUUAAAACAGAAAGCGCAGUGUUGAAGCCGCUGAAAUAACAUGGGUUCUUAAGUG
RNAcentral lists this transfer RNA (65 nucleotides) under Allopsontus sp. 2 JZ-2014. RNAcentral describes it as "tRNA-Phe". Lineage: Eukaryota; Metazoa; Arthropoda; Insecta; Archaeognatha; Machilidae. The record is from RNAcentral.